GAUGAACGCUGGCGGCGUGCCUAAUACAUGCAAGUCGAGCGAACAGAUAAGGAGCUUGCUCCUUUGACGUUAGCGGCGGACGGGUGAGUAACACGUGGGUAACCUACCUAUAAGACUGGGAUAACUUCGGGAAACCGGAGCUAAUACCGGAUAACAUUUGGAACCGCAUGGUUCUAAAGUGAAAGAUGGUUUUGCUAUCACUUAUAGAUGGACCCGCGCCGUAUUAGCUAGUUGGUAAGGUAACGGCUUACCAAGGCGACGAUACGUAGCCGACCUGAGAGGGUGAUCGGCCACACUGGAACUGAGACACGGUCCAGACUCCUACGGGAGGCAGCAGUAGGGAAUCUUCCGCAAUAGGCGAAAGCCUGACGGAGCAACGCCGCGUGAGUGAUGAAGGGUUUCGGCUCGUAAAACUCUGUUAUUAGGGAAGAACAAAUGUGUAAGUAACUGUGCACGUCUUGACGGUACCUAAUCAGAAAGCCACGGCUAACUACG
This 495-nucleotide ribosomal RNA is filed under the name uncultured bacterium. RNAcentral's name for it is "partial 16S ribosomal RNA". It matches the Rfam family "Bacterial small subunit ribosomal RNA", at positions 28 to 505 of the family's 1533-position model. The record is from RNAcentral.